CCUGCAUGAAUCGGAAUUGCUAGUAGUCGUAGAUCAGCAUGCUACGGUGAAUACGUUCCCGGGCCUUGUACACACCGCCCGUCAAACCAUGAGAGUUGGCAACACCCGAAGCCUGUAGCUUAACCGCAAGGACGGCGCAGUCGAAGGUGGGGUCGAUGAUUAGGGUUAAGUCGUAACAAGGUAAC
RNAcentral lists this ribosomal RNA (185 nucleotides) under uncultured bacterium. RNAcentral's name for it is "partial 16S ribosomal RNA". It matches the Rfam family "Bacterial small subunit ribosomal RNA", at positions 1315 to 1500 of the family's 1533-position model. The record is from RNAcentral.